CCGAGUGCGCUCCCCCACGCCCUGGGGGGUCCCGGGCGCUAGGACCAGGGCUCCCCGGAGAGACAGCGGCCCCCAGUUCGGGCCUAAAAGGAAACUUUCUGGGCCGCGGCUGCACCUGACUCCUCACCGCCCCUCCACCCGACCCCACGCCCGCCAGGCCGCCCGCCCCGCCCCGCCCCGGCCUGGCCGUCCGGAGCGCGGAGGAGGGGGAUAAAUAAAUUCAACUCUUACCGGAAUCUGGGGGCCGUCUGCGAGAGACCCGGGGGAAGGGGAGCCGGGCGCCCAUUCCCCACUCCCCACUCCUAGGCCCUGACGCCCCUGUCCCGGCAGCCCGGGCCUGCCGCCCCGCGGGAAAGCCUCCGGGCCGGCGCGGGAUUCGGCCCAGCAGCGCCGCCGUCCCACCCGGAGACCCCGGGGGACUCGAGGGGGCGCGCGGAGGCCCGGGGUGCGGGGGCAGGGCGCGGCUGCCGUGGGGCCUACCGGCCCGAGGCCUACCGGCGCCCCCCCCUCCCGCCGCACACCCCCACCUGGCCCGCGCAGGCCGCUCCGCUCGCCCCACUCCGGCUCCGGCUGGACCCCUGCCCGCCCGCCGUCGCCGCCCGCGGGCGCCCCGGAGGCCCUCAGGCCCCCGGCCUCCACCACCCGGGCGCCGGCCCCACUCACCCUUUCAUUCUCCGCCCGGGGCCUGGCGUGGGCCGGCGAAUCCCCGGCCUCACAUCAGAGUGAGAGGCGCUGGCAAUGGACUAGGAAGCUCGGCUGCCGCUGCUACUGCUCCCCCCUGGGCUCCGGCGAGAGCCUUUCCCUGUCAAGCAAGAGGGGUGAGGAUCAUAUUUUUAUUUUGGAAACUAAAAAGUGCUCCCAGGGUCGGUGAUUAUUAAGGGGAAAUCCCUGAAUAUACUCUCCAGCCAAGAAGGCAGGGCUGCCGGGGCUGUACAAGAAGAGGCAGCAGCCUCCUACAGCACCACUACAGGCACUGCGAGGACAUAACACCAGAGAGCUGCUCCUCUGCCCUCCGAAACGACAACUUUCCUACCAUCUUGGAGGCAGAGCAAAGGGGGGCCAGGGGGAAAAGUGCACCCGCUCCCGAUAAAGUACAAAUUUUUACUUCUCAUCUCUGGAAAAAAGUCCACACCGGCCGUCUACACCCGCGCCUGGGGGAGAAAGCAGGGAAGAAACGGGGGGUGCAUGAGAAACGUUUUCAUUUGCUCCAGGGGGAAAAAUGUUUCUGCAUCUUCUGAUGGAAAGAAAUCUUUACAAGACACAGGUUUUCCGGUGGUUAUUGUUUUUUAUUUUCUGUUUUUAAUUUUUUUCAUGUUAGUGACAGUGAUAUUUUAAUAUUUUUUUAAGCCAGUAAUAAUUUUUCUCCAUUACAGGGCUAAGUUCUGUGGCUGGUGGUCAGUUUGUAAAUUUAUACUUAAAGAGACUUAAUAGUAACUUCAUUUAUUUGUCUGGUUAUGUUAUUGUAUAUAUAAAUAUUUAUGUUUUCAUAUAUUGCAUAUAAAAAUUUGUGUUACAUGUUACUCUCAGAACAGAUUGCUGUAAGACAAUUGUAAAAAAACAUGUCUUUCGUCUGUUUCUCAAAGCAAUGUAAAUAAAACCUAUGGACUGUCCAGAAAGGCAUGAUACAGUGUGUCAUUUUCCACAGUGCAGAUAAAGGCAGCUAUCACUGGGGAUUUAAAAACGGCCCCUGUUUCUGGAAAUUCUGUUAUGCUGCCCAUACAGAAAGGAUACAGUAAAACUGGAAAGAGAUUUUAAAGACAGCCUUAGAUUUUUCUUGAGGUAAAAUAGCUUAUUAAGAAUUAUAUCCGGGCAUUUAAUUUUUUUAUUUAUUUAGAUUCUUUAAACUCUAGCUAGAUCUUUGGUGCAUUACACAUGUUGCUAUCUGCUUUUUGUGUCACAGAAUUGAGAAAUGUGGCUAUUUUUGUUAGUUAUGUUAGUUCAGAACUUCCAAUGUGCUGCCAGCCUGUAUGAUAGACUUUUUGUAUAUUGCAGUGGAUGUCAUGAAUUUACUUUUUUAAAUGAGCAAAGCUUACUAGAUAAAUGGGAUCAGAGUUAAACAAUGCUGUUAGCACAGAGGUGAGAGGGACAAAGGGUACCCAUUUACAUCGAUUCCAAUAGAACGCUUAUUGGAGGAUAAAUUGCAGAGACAUUUUUCUAUUUUUGUGAAGAAAGAGAAAAAUAAUAGAAAAAGAACCGACUAUCUUUGUAUGUUCUACUGGGGAUGAUGAUUUAAAUCUUGUAUUAAAAGUUAUUUUUCUAACACAUGUUGACUAACCUGGCAGGAAUGAAUUUGUUAUAUUAGUGCCCUGAAUCAGUAGAAUAUUUAAUUUCUUU
Molecule: long non-coding RNA, 2334 nt
Filed under: Homo sapiens (human)
Lineage: Eukaryota; Metazoa; Chordata; Mammalia; Primates; Hominidae
Description: PREDICTED lncRNA (TCONS_00153944)
Source: RNAcentral